GAGCGGUCAAAAUUACAAACAUUUUUAAAAUCAAAUGCAUUAUGUGUAGUAUACGUCUCUUUGACCUUCUGGCUGGUCCAGCCAAUAAGCAUUUUGUAGUACAUAUUAGCUUGAAUUGUCAAACCAGCAGAGAAGUAUAUAGGAACUUUUAGAUUCAUGCGUUCCCAGUAAUCAUCCAACAAAAUACAGAGUUCCUGAGCUCUUCCAAGUGCAAAGGUAGGAAUAAGCACCUUUCCACCAGCAGCAACACAUUUAUGAACAACUU
This 265-nucleotide unclassified non-coding RNA is filed under the name Hevea brasiliensis (rubber tree). The record is from RNAcentral. Lineage: Eukaryota; Viridiplantae; Streptophyta; Magnoliopsida; Malpighiales; Euphorbiaceae.